UUGGUUCCUCUGGCGUUGCCAGUUUCUUACAUUCUUCCUCUCGCCUUUCAUCACUUUGUGUUUUUUUUUUAAUUUUCUUCGACUUCAUCCUUUGAGUUUUCCAAUUAACCAGAUCCUCUGGCGCCAAAUAAUCUCUUCAUAUACAGAAACGGUGGUGCUGUGAAUUGAACUCGUUCAUUUGCCCCUUUAUUUCUGUCUAUAUGUUACCAGUAUAUGUGUUUUUACUCUUGUUAGUGUUUU
RNAcentral lists this long non-coding RNA (240 nucleotides) under Mytilus galloprovincialis (Mediterranean mussel). The record is from RNAcentral. Lineage: Eukaryota; Metazoa; Mollusca; Bivalvia; Mytilida; Mytilidae.